UACGUAGGCAGCGAGCGUUGUCCGGAGUUACUGGGCGUAAAGGGUGCGCAGGCGGCCCGACAGGUGUGUGGUGAAAUCUCCCGGCUUACCUGGGAGGGGGCCACGCAAACCGUUGGGCUUGAGGCUCGGGGAGGGGCGUGGAAUUCCGGGUGUAGCGGUGGAAUGCGUAGAGAUCCGGAAGAACACCGGUGGCGAAGGCGGUCUGCUGGGCCAAGACUGACGCGGAGGCGCGACAGCGUGGGGAGCAAACAGG
RNAcentral lists this ribosomal RNA (253 nucleotides) under uncultured bacterium. RNAcentral's name for it is "partial 16S ribosomal RNA". It matches the Rfam family "Bacterial small subunit ribosomal RNA", at positions 524 to 776 of the family's 1533-position model. The record is from RNAcentral.